RNAcentral lists this ribosomal RNA (253 nucleotides) under uncultured bacterium. Its description in RNAcentral is "partial 16S ribosomal RNA". It matches the Rfam family "Bacterial small subunit ribosomal RNA", at positions 524 to 776 of the family's 1533-position model. The record is from RNAcentral.
UACGGAGGGUGCGAGCGUUGUCCGGAAUCAUUGGGCGUAAAGGGCGCGUAGGUGGCCCGGUCAGCGUGCGGUGAAAGCUCGGGGCUCAACCCCGAGUCGGCCGUGCGAACUGCUGGGCUUGAGCACUGUAGAGGCAGGCGGAAUUCCGGGUGUAGCGGUGGAAUGCGUAGAGAUCCGGAAGAACACCGGUGGCGAAGGCGGCCUGCUGGGCAGUGGCUGACACUGAGGCGCGACAGCGUGGGGAGCGAUCCGG